This 539-nucleotide ribosomal RNA is filed under the name uncultured bacterium. Its description in RNAcentral is "bacterial SSU rRNA". It matches the Rfam family "Bacterial small subunit ribosomal RNA", at positions 8 to 526 of the family's 1533-position model. The record is from RNAcentral.
AGAGUUUGAUCCUGGCUCAGAAUCAACGCUGGCGGCGUGCCUAACACAUGCAAGUCGUGCGCGAAAGGGACUUCGGUCCUGAGUAGAGCGGCAAACGGGUGAGUAACGCGUGGGUGACCUACCCUCGAGUGGGGGAUAACAGUCCGAAAGGAUUGCUAAUACCGCAUGACAUCCUGUCCUUGGACGGAUGGAGAUCAAAGCCGGGGAUCGCAAGACCUGGCGCUUGAGGAGGGGCCCGCGUUCGAUUAGCUAGUUGGUGAGGUAACGGCUCACCAAGGCGACGAUCGAUAGCCGGCCUGAGAGGGCGGACGGCCACACUGGGACUGAGACACGGCCCAGACUCCUACGGGAGGCAGCAGUGGGGAAUUGUUCGCAAUGGGCGCAAGCCUGACGACGCAACGCCGCGUGGAGGAUGAAGAUCUUCGGGUCGUAAACUCCUGUCGACCGGGACGAAAUUCACGUGGGCUAACAUCCCGCGUGAUUGACGGUACCGGUGGAGGAAGCCCCGGCUAACUCCGUGCCAGCAGCCGCGGUAAUUC